Molecule: ribosomal RNA, 426 nt
Filed under: uncultured bacterium
Lineage: Bacteria
Also listed under: 1 other name
Description: bacterial SSU rRNA
Rfam family: Bacterial small subunit ribosomal RNA
Source: RNAcentral
UGGGGAAUCUUGCGCAAUGGACGAAAGUCUGACGCAGCGACGCCGCGUGGGUGAUGAAGGCCUUCGGGUUGUAAAGCCCUGUGGGGAGGGACGAAUAAGUUGCGGUUAAUACCCGCAGCGAUGACGGUACCUCCUUAGCAAGCACCGGCUAACUCUGUGCCAGCAGCCGCGGUAAGACAGAGGGUGCAAACGUUGUUCGGAAUUACUGGGCGUAAAGCGCGUGUAGGCGGCUAUGCAAGUCGGAUGUGAAAGCCCUCGGCUCAACCGGGGAAGUGCACCCGAAACUGCAAAGCUAGAGUCUCGGAGAGGAUCGUGGAAUUCUCGGUGUAGAGGUGAAAUUCGUAGAUAUCGAGAGGAACACCGGUGGCGAAGGCGGCGAUCUGGACGAUGACUGACGCUGAGACGCGAAAGCGUGGGGAGCAAACA